This 253-nucleotide ribosomal RNA is filed under the name uncultured bacterium. RNAcentral's name for it is "partial 16S ribosomal RNA". It matches the Rfam family "Bacterial small subunit ribosomal RNA", at positions 524 to 776 of the family's 1533-position model. The record is from RNAcentral.
UACGGGGGGGGCAAGCGUUGUUCGGAAUUACUGGGCGUAAAGGGCUCGUAGGCGGCCAACUAAGUCUGACGUGAAAUCCCUCGGCUUAACCGGGGAACUGCGUCCGAUACUGGAUGGCUUGAGUGUGGGAGAGGGAUGCGGAAUUCCAGGUGUAGCGGUGAAAUGCGUAGAUAUCUGGAGGAACACCUGUGGCGAAAGCGGCGCACUGGACCACAACUGACGCUGAGGCGCGAAAGCUAGGGGAGCAAACAGG